UGCGCAGGCGGUUAUGUAAGACAGAUGUGAAAUCCCCGGGCUCAACCUGGGAACUGCAUUUGUGACUGCAUGGCUAGAGUACGGUAGAGGGGGAUGGAAUUCCGCGUGUAGCAGUGAAAUGCGUAGAUAUGCGGAGGAACACCGAUGGCGAAGGCAAUCCCCUGGACCUGUACUGACGCUCAUGCACGAAGCGUGGGAGCAAACA
Molecule: ribosomal RNA, 205 nt
Filed under: uncultured bacterium
Lineage: Bacteria
Description: partial 16S ribosomal RNA
Rfam family: Bacterial small subunit ribosomal RNA
Source: RNAcentral